This 501-nucleotide ribosomal RNA is filed under the name uncultured Roseobacter sp. RNAcentral's name for it is "partial 16S ribosomal RNA". The record is from RNAcentral. Lineage: Bacteria; Pseudomonadati; Pseudomonadota; Alphaproteobacteria; Rhodobacterales; Roseobacteraceae.
GUUAGGUGUGUCACCGAACAGUAUACUGCCCGACGACUGGCAUUCAUCGUUUACGGUGUGGACUACCAGGGGUAUCUAAUCCUGUUUGCUCCCCACACUUUCGCACCUCAGCGUCAGUAUCGAGCCAGUGAGCCGCCUUCGCCACUGGUGUUCCUCCGAAUAUCUACGAAUUUCACCUCUACACUCGGAAUUCCACUCACCUCUCUCGAACUCAAGACACCCAGUAUCAAAGGCAGUUCCAGGGUUGAGCCCUGGGAUUUCACCUCUGACUUAAAUGUCCGCCUACGCGCGCUUUACGCCCAGUAAUUCCGAACAACGCUAACCCCCUCCGUAUUACCGCGGCUGCUGGCACGGAGUUAGCCGGGGUUUCUUUACCUGCUACAGUCAUUAUCUUCACAGGCGAAAGAGCUUUACGACCCUAAGGCCUUCUUCACUCACGCGGCAUGGCUAGAUCAGGCUUGCGCCCAUUGUCUAAGAUUCCCCACUGCUGCCUCCCGUAGG